UACGGAGGGGACUAGCGUUGUUCGGAAUUACUGGGCGUAAAGCGUGCGCAGGCGGUUUUGUAAGCCAGAUGUGAAAUCCCCGGGCUUAACCUGGGAAUGGCAUUUGGGACUGCAAGGCUGGAGUUUGGCAGAGGAGACUGGAAUUCCCGGUGUAGCAGUGAAAUGCGUAGAUAUCGGGAGGAAUACCGAUGGCGAAGGCAGGUCUCUGGGCUAUAACUGACGCUCAUGCACGAAAGCGUGGGGAGCAAACAGG
RNAcentral lists this ribosomal RNA (253 nucleotides) under uncultured bacterium. RNAcentral describes it as "partial 16S ribosomal RNA". It matches the Rfam family "Bacterial small subunit ribosomal RNA", at positions 524 to 776 of the family's 1533-position model. The record is from RNAcentral.